GAACGAAACUUCUUUAUCACCGAGUGCUUGCACUCACCGAUAAACAGUUGAGUGGCGAACGGGUGAGUAACACGUGGGCAACCUGCCCAAAAGAGGGGGAUAACACUUGGAAACAGGUGCUAAUACCGCAUAACCAUAGUUACCGCAUGGUAACUAUGUAAAAGGUGGCUAUGCUACCGCUUUUGGAUGGGCCCGCGGCGCAUUAGCUAGUUGGUGGGGUAAAGGCUUACCAAGGCAAUGAUGCGUAGCCGAACUGAGAGGUUGAUCGGCCACAUUGGGACUGAGACACGGCCCAAACUUAUACGGGAGGCAGCAGUAGGGAAUCUUCCACAAUGGGCGAAAGCCUGAUGGAGCAACGCCGCGUGGGUGAAGAAGGUCUUCGGAUCGUAAAACCCUGUUGUUAGAGAAGAAAGUGCGUGAGAGUAACUGUUCACGUUUCGACGGUAUCUAACCAGAAAGCCACGGCUAACUACGUGCCAGCAGCCGCGGUAAUACGUAGGUGGCUAGCGUUAUCCGGAUUUAUUGGGCGUAAAGGGAACGCAGGCGGUCUUUUAAGUCUGAUGUGAAAGCCUUCGGCUUAACCGGAGUAGUGCAUUGGAAACUGGGAGACUUGAGUGCAGAAGAGGAGAGUGGAACUCCAUGUGUAGCGGUGAAAUGCGUAGAUAUAUGGAAGAACACCAGUGGCGAAAGCGGCUCUCUGGUCUGUAACUGACGCUGAGGUUCGAAAGCGUGGGUAGCAAACAGGAUUAGAUACCCUGGUAGUCCACGCCGUAAACGAUGAAUGCUAAGUGUUGGAGGGUUUCCGCCCUUC
RNAcentral lists this ribosomal RNA (811 nucleotides) under uncultured bacterium. RNAcentral describes it as "bacterial SSU rRNA". It matches the Rfam family "Bacterial small subunit ribosomal RNA", at positions 64 to 841 of the family's 1533-position model. The record is from RNAcentral.